GCCCCGGUAGCUCAGCGGUCGGAGCANNGGUCGGAGCAACGGCCUUGUAAGCCGUAGGUCGCGGGUUCGAAUCCCGCUCGGGGCUCCA
Molecule: transfer RNA, 88 nt
Filed under: Candidatus Bathyarchaeota archaeon
Lineage: Archaea; Thermoproteati; Candidatus Bathyarchaeota
Description: tRNA-Thr
Rfam family: tRNA
About the family: Transfer RNA (tRNA) molecules are approximately 80 nucleotides in length. Their secondary structure includes four short double-helical elements and three loops (D, anti-codon, and T loops).
Source: RNAcentral